RNAcentral lists this small nucleolar RNA (138 nucleotides) under Cyprinodon variegatus (sheepshead minnow). Lineage: Eukaryota; Metazoa; Chordata; Actinopteri; Cyprinodontiformes; Cyprinodontidae. The record is from RNAcentral.
AACGCACUCUAUUAAAGCCGGGUACUGAUGUGAGUGCUCUGGUGUCGGAAGUGUGCAAAAGUAACCGGGUCAGGGUUUUACCGACACCAGGAGGACGGCUGUCCUAUGCCUGGGGUUUGAGUAAACCCUGACCUACAC